Long non-coding RNA from Arachis duranensis, 746 nucleotides. RefSeq lists it as uncharacterized. NCBI's taxonomy places the organism in Eukaryota, Viridiplantae, Streptophyta, Magnoliopsida, Fabales, Fabaceae. The record is from RefSeq and is a predicted model, not a curated record. The transcript is spliced from 5 exons.
AACUGAAGGAAAUAGAACCGCGUGAACUUAAGGAAAUUGAAACAACCCCCCUUCUUUCUUUCCCCAAUUCAUAACCCUAGCCCCCAUUGUCGCCGCCGUCCGAAGCUUGUUGGCGCCGCCGCCGUUCCAAGCUCUAAGGACAUCGUCUUUAUCUUCCUUGGCUUCUCCGUUCGUCGAAGGUUAGUGGCGUGGCGUCCGCUCUUGGGGUACUGCGCUCGUUAAGAUCUCUCCUUACACCUUUUCCGUCGUCGCCAUCGGCGUCUCCAUCGGUGUCUCAGUUCUCAUUGCUGCUUGAGGGAUUUACGUGCUGCAAUCAAGGCUCCCCGAAUCACUUCCACGAAUCUCAUUAGGUCUUAUUUUUCUAUCCUCCAUAAAAAAGUGGCCGCUUAAAUGCCUGGAUCUUCUCUCUUUUUGCUUCCCUGGAAUAUUGGAGGAUAAUUUUUUCGUACUGGUAAAGACAACAGAAGUUGCUGCGGCACCGUUUAUAACAACUUCAUAUGGCAUCUCAAAAUGAAGGAACUAAGCACAGGAGGAUAUGAUGUGAAGAAAAUAUGUUCAAUACAAAUAUAAGAUGGGAUGGGUCUUAUAAUGAUUUUGGUUAUCUAAAUGUAUUAUUUUGAUGUCUUCUUUACAUUUUGAUAAGAGAUUUUAUUCGAUAAUACAUGUAAUGGAUAAAUUACACUCUCUUUUGAUUAGUGUUGUAAUGGAUAUCUACUUUUUAAUGAAACUUUUAUGAUUUACAUUUA